GCACUGAUGCAAUUGGCUAGCUGGGUGGUAGUUGGGGGUGGAACUGCUGUUUGCUCUCCUGCUUGUUUAGAGACAGAGUUUCAAGUAGCCGCACCUGCUUCGAACUUUAUAUGUAGUCAAGGAUAACCUUGAACUCCUGGUUCUUUUCCCUCUACUUCCUGAGUGCUCUACCGGAAUUACAGUGUUGCAUCGCUAUCCCUGGAGCUAUGCUUAAUGACGAGGAAGGAGGCCCCGACCUGAGAAGCUUGCAGCUACACAAAGUGCAGCCUGGGCCUUGAGUCACAGCCCCUGAUGGGCCGAGAAGUCAUACCCUGUCAGAGACAAAGCCAAAGUGCGUCUAUCCCAGCAGCCAAGGCUAAGAGAUGGAGACUCCAGUCCCUGGGACUCCUUCUGCAUCUGAAUUAAUCUCUUAAAAAACAAUCGUGGGCUCCAGAUGAAGAACAGUUUCCCAACAGCUGGAGGACGCUUGCAGGAGGCAAGUUUUAAAGAACAGAGCCAGGAAGGAAGACAGAGACACCGAAGGAACCACCAGCCAGUGUUGUUUGGAGAAGUCUGAUGUCUUCAGCUGGCUUGUUAUUAAUUAUCGCACCUACAGCUUCGCGCCCUGAGAAGCCCGCAGUUAAACCGGCGAGUUAAGUCGCGAGAGUGUUCUGGGUUGUCUGCACAGUUAAUCAAAAAUUAUGCUAUCUUUAACUUUAUUCAAAGGGAGAGAUGUCUUUUUUCUUUCUUCCAGUAUUGGCGUCUUCUUACUGAGUUUUAAGGAUGAAAGAUUGGAGCUAGAAUAUCAAGCAGAUGCCCAGCGGAUGCAGCUGGAUUUCGAGCAUAAUAACCAGCAUCCCAAAGGAGGACCUUGUUCUAUUGUGCCGGAUGAAACAGGUCAGGGAGCAGUCGGGGGUUCAUAGGGUUCAAGAUGGGAAGAAUGGGAUGACCCCUAGAGCCAGGAUACUUCCAGACUUCGAACUUGCAUGCAGAUUGGACCCUGCAUGAAGCACUCUCACCUUGGUCCCCUGCUCCACCGAACUCUUUCAGAGACGGGGAACGCAAGCGCCUGCCCUUCUGCUGCAUGGCCUGGCCUGAGUCUGAUCUGAGAGAGGGAAGCCUGUUGCCCUGGGUCAUGGCUGAGGCCUCAAGAGUUCUGAAGCCCAUCCACACUGGUAAUGAGUCCGGACUGGGGAUCACAGAAAUUAGAGAUUGAGAAAGCUCUCAGACAAGCUUGGGGGCUGCCUGCCAGUCUCGGAGAUGGCCUCGCUCUGCAGAAUCACAGACGGACGGGAGAGGGUUCUAGUUUGUCCGGGCUUCUUUGACGGUGCAAGCUUGGGAGCCCAUAAAACUUUUGUUUUGCAACUCCUCCUCACAAACUGGAUGUCUUUACCUUUAGUGACAGGUAUUUUCUUUGUAUUUGGGGCUAAAGGUCAGCGGGAAUAAAACCUUAGCAUCCUAGGAAAUCUAUGACAAACAUAAUAAAAUAAUGAGAAGGUAGUCUCCAGUCCCCAUCAACCAAAACCCAGCUUCCAAACCUGUUUUUUUUUUUAGAUGAAAGCCUAUUAAUUAAAUAAAAAAUUUUAACUUGAAA
This 1573-nucleotide small RNA is filed under the name Rattus norvegicus (Norway rat). RNAcentral's name for it is "uncharacterized LOC102552776". Lineage: Eukaryota; Metazoa; Chordata; Mammalia; Rodentia; Muridae. The record is from RNAcentral.